GCUGCUAAUACAUGCAAGUCGAACGAACUUCCGUUAAUUGAUUAUGACGUACUUGUACUGAUUGAGAUUUUAACACGAAGUGAGUGGCGAACGGGUGAGUAACACGUGGGUAACCUGCCCAGAAGUAGGGGAUAACACCUGGAAACAGAUGCUAAUACCGUAUAACAGAGAAAACCGCAUGGUUUUCUUUUAAAAGAUGGCUCUGCUAUCACUUCUGGAUGGACCCGCGGCGUAUUAGCUAGUUGGUGAGGUAAAGGCUCACCAAGGCAGUGAUACGUAGCCGACCUGAGAGGGUAAUCGGCCACAUUGGGACUGAGACACGGCCCAGACUCCUACGGGAGGCAGCAGUAGGGAAUCUUCCACAAUGGACGCAAGUCUGAUGGAGCAACGCCGCGUGAGUGAAGAAGGGUUUCGGCUCGUAAAGCUCUGUUGUUAAAGAAGAACGUGGGUAAGAGUAACUGUUUACCCAGUGACGGUAUUUAACCAGAAAGCCACGGCUAACUACGUGCCAGCAGCCGCGGUAAUACGUAGGUGGCAAGCGUUAUCCGGAUUUAUUGGGCGUAAAGCGAGCGCAGGCGGUCUUUUAAGUCUAAUGUGAAAGCCUUCGGCUCAACCGAAGAAGUGCAUUGGAAACUGGGAGACUUGAGUGCAGAAGAGGACAGUGGAACUCCAUGUGUAGCGGUGAAAUGCGUAGAUAUAUGGAAGAACACCAGUGGCGAAGGCGGCUGUCUGGUCUGCAACUGACGCUGAGGCUCGAAAGCAUGGGUAGCGAACAGGAUUAGAUACCCUGGUAGUCCAUGCCGUAAACGAUGAUUACUAAGUGUUGGAGGGUUUCCGCCCUUCAGUGCUGCAGCUAACGCAUUAAGUAAUCCGCCUGGGGAGUACGACCGCAAGGUUGAAACUCAAAAGAAUUGACGGGGGCCCGCACAAGCGGUGGAGCAUGUGGUUUAAUUCGAAGCUACGCGAAGAACCUUACCAGGUCUUGACAUCUUCUGACAGUCUAAGAGAUUAGAGGUUCCCUUCGGGGACAGAAUGACAGGUGGUGCAUGGUUGUCGUCAGCUCGUGUCGUGAGAUGUUGGGUUAAGUCCCGCAACGAGCGCAACCCUUAUUACUAGUUGCCAGCAUUAAGUUGGGCACUCUAGUGAGACUGCCGGUGACAAACCGGAGGAAGGUGGGGACGACGUCAAAUCAUCAUGCCCCUUAUGACCUGGGCUACACACGUGCUACAAUGGAUGGUACAACGAGUCGCGAGACCGCGAGGUUAAGCUAAUCUCUUAAAACCAUUCUCAGUUCGGACUGUAGGCUGCAACUCGCCUACACGAAGUCGGAAUCGCUAGUAAUCGCGGAUUCAGCAGCCGU
RNAcentral lists this ribosomal RNA (1360 nucleotides) under Pediococcus pentosaceus. RNAcentral's name for it is "bacterial SSU rRNA". It matches the Rfam family "Bacterial small subunit ribosomal RNA", at positions 46 to 1360 of the family's 1533-position model. Lineage: Bacteria; Bacillati; Bacillota; Bacilli; Lactobacillales; Lactobacillaceae. The record is from RNAcentral.